This is a long non-coding RNA of Limulus polyphemus (Atlantic horseshoe crab), 1069 nucleotides long. RefSeq lists it as uncharacterized. Lineage: Eukaryota; Metazoa; Arthropoda; Merostomata; Xiphosura; Limulidae. The transcript has 3 exons. The record is from RefSeq and is a predicted model, not a curated record.
UCUGCUAGGUUCGUCCAAACCUCGGAAGCGCUUUGUUCAACUUGGCGCUGCUUCUGUCAGAAGAAAGUAGACCAUUGGAAGCCUUUGUAUACCUCAAAAGGCUACUAAAGAGCCAACCAGAUCACGUUAAGGGAUUGAUCCUUAUGGGAGACAUCUACAUCAGCCACUUUCGAGACCUUGAAGCUGCAGAGGAGUGCUACAUUAAAAUUCUCCAAUAUGAUCCCGACAAUAUUCAAGGCUUACACAACCUUUGUGUGGUAUACUACCAACGUCAGCAACUGGUAGAAGCCGAGGCUUGUUUUCAAAAGGCCCUCACACAAAGUCCAAACACGGAGUAUAUUCGUCAACACCUAGAGGUAACCAGACGUCAGCUCCAGCAGGUGGCGGCACAGGUUAAAGAAAAUGAUCCUUUAGACAACAUGAACGUACCCCGCGAUCCAGCUGUUCUUCAACAAAUCUCUUCGUCACCAACGAUCAGGUGAUUGCAAGUUUAAAAAAAAAUGUCCUCAGACCAUUGUCCAAAAACACGUUAAAGUGUUAGAAGCAUCUAUUGUCGAUACAUGCAUUGGUUCUUGGAGAGAUGAGAUGGUCACGUUUACUCCUCAUCUUAUCUCGUAAUCGUUACCUUUGAAUGGCAUUAAUCAAGUGCUAGAGCUAAUAAACCUACGAACACUGUUUUCCACCAUCUUUCAAGUGCUAGGCCUAAGAAGACUAUGAAUACACUCGUUGCAGGCCUAUUGUAUUCAAAACCCAAAUAAUGGGACAGAAAAGUAUUUAGUAAUGUGCCAAUGUUAUAUGUUUAAUACAAGCUUUUAAGCUUUGCAUAUUUGUAAUGUUAUUAUUGGAUAACUUGUCAUAAAGUAUUGCUCAGUGUUGGAAAUGGCCUUGUUAUGUGAACAGGCCAUGUUUCUGUAAAACAAAGAUAUUUCCAUCAGACGAUUAGGAACUGUGAUACUCUUUUUUUUUCUUCUUUUUUACUCUCUGUCGGAGACAUGUUAUUAAUGAAUGAGUUUUUAUGUCAAUCUAUUCGCAUAGUUAUAAUUUUUAUUAAAUAUAUUUAAUACCUGUA